AUAAAAAAGUUUCUGGAGUAUUGGAUCAGACUUUUAAAUAACUUGGCAAUAAACAAAAGCUGCCAUUUGGAACAAUUUCCAAAAAAAUAUUCAAAGACAUACAGUAUUGGGAAGUAACUAACCGACACCACCUACUAAAAAUUGUUCACUUACGAAAAGACAAACAUUUUUAUUUAAUAAUCGAGCAGAAUAUUUUUCGGAUUAAAUUGCAAUAGAGAAAAACUACAAUUUGGAAUAGUUGGAAAGUUACACACCGCCACCACCCCAUAAAAAAUGUUUUCAUUAGUAAAAUUUGACAAUGACAAGCUUUCAAUUGUGAAUUCAAAAAAUGUGGAUAAAAUAAUUAAAGGGACAUGCGUCGUAAAAUACAAUGGUGGAAAAUAUGCGGCGCUACUUGUUGCUCAAAAUGCAUCACCUUUCGGCAAAACCAAAAGAACCAGGUGGAACUCGGAGGAAAAAGAUGCAAUAUAUUCAAUAUUUGGAGAUUUAAAAGAUUUAGAAAGACUACCAAAUCUUAAGGAAUGCUUAAAAGCCAUUCAGACAUCGUCAGCACUUAAGAAUAGAACGCCACAACAAAUAAAAACUUGGAUAGACAAUCAAAGGCGGUACAAAAUGGACUAACUUACAAUUAAAGUGUAUUUUCGCAGAAAUUCUACGAUGACUGGCGAUAUUUUUGAAGGAAAACUAAAUUCCUAUAUGAUUUGUCUAGUGUACCAUGGAUCCUAAUCGCUAUAUUUGUCGAAAUUUAAUACAAAAUUUAUAUAACAAAAAUAUAAAAGAAUAAAGUGUGAACACUUUUAUAGAAAAUGUAAA
This is a long non-coding RNA of Calliphora vicina (urban bluebottle blowfly), 813 nucleotides long. RefSeq lists it as uncharacterized. Lineage: Eukaryota; Metazoa; Arthropoda; Insecta; Diptera; Calliphoridae. The record is from RefSeq and is a predicted model, not a curated record. The transcript has 5 exons.